CGUUUCUUGGUUCAUCAUUCCUUAAAGUCGGAGGUUUUUCAGCUCAGCCGAGCUGGAGAGUGGGAAAGGAAAGUGUAUGAACGUCGAGCAUCUCAACGAGAGUACGGCAUUGAAAAAGUCCUACACAUCAAAAUCUUCUGGAAAAAGUUUUCAUUGGAGAAAAGUAAAAAGUUGAACAAAUAGAGUUUUAUUCAAAAAACAAAUAAAUUGUUACUUUCACAAAUUGAAUCCAGAAUUCAAGGCUUUGAUUCGAGAUAUUCAAUGAUCAGCUGUUGUUAGGAAUUUUUUAUAUUUUUUCGAAGUAGUAAAGUUGUUCAGGAAGGAAAAGUAAAAGUAAUAAAAAAUAUUCGUUAUCAGUUUGA
This is a long non-coding RNA of Uranotaenia lowii, 362 nucleotides long. RefSeq lists it as uncharacterized. NCBI's taxonomy places the organism in Eukaryota, Metazoa, Arthropoda, Insecta, Diptera, Culicidae. The record is from RefSeq and is a predicted model, not a curated record. The transcript is spliced from 2 exons.